Molecule: ribosomal RNA, 614 nt
Filed under: Salarias ramosus
Lineage: Eukaryota; Metazoa; Chordata; Actinopteri; Blenniiformes; Blenniidae
Description: partial 12S ribosomal RNA
Rfam family: Bacterial large subunit ribosomal RNA (bases 247-614)
Source: RNAcentral
GCUUAGACAGAAAAGCAUUUCCCUUACACUGAAAAGCCCCCCGUGCAACUCGGAGUGCCCUGAAGCUUAACAGCUAGCUUAACCAAUAAAUUAAGACUCCCAUAUUUAUAGCACUAAAACCCGUACGAUACUGCAAUAAAACAUUAAAUAACUGAAGUAUAGGCGAUAGAAACAGAACAUAAAGCGACAGAUAAAGUACCGCAAGGGAACGCUGAAAUAGAAAUGAAAAAAAUUAGUAAAGCAUAGAAAAGCAAAGAUUAAUUCUUGUACCUUUUGCAUCAUGAUUUAGCUAGUCCUAUUCAAGCAAAAAGCCCUGUAGUUUGAACACCCGAAACCAAGUGAGCUACUCCGAGACAGCCUAUUUAAUAGGGCCAAUCCCGUCUCUGUGGCAAAAGAUGUGGGAAGAGCUCCGAGUAGAGGUGAAAAGCCUACCGAACUUGGUGAUAGCUGGUUGCCCAAGAAGUGAAUAGAAGUUCAGCCCUUAUUAUUUUUUAACCCCUAUAAAGAUAAAAAAAGGAUAAGGAGUUAGUCCCAGGGGGUCCAGCCCCUGGGACAGAAGAAACAACUUUAAGCGGGAGGCUAAGGACCCCGUAACAAAGUACCGGUACACUAGU